Molecule: unclassified non-coding RNA, 355 nt
Filed under: soil metagenome
Description: partial contains 5.8S ribosomal RNA, internal transcribed spacer 2, and large subunit ribosomal RNA
Rfam family: 5.8S ribosomal RNA (bases 1-120)
Source: RNAcentral
GAUGAAGAACGUAGCGAAAUGCGAUAAGUAGUGUGAAUUGCAGAAUUCAGUGAAUCAUCGAAUCUUUGAACGCACAUUGCGCCUUCUAGUAUUCUGGGAGGCAUGCCUGUUUGAGCGUCAUUAAACCUCUCUCAAGUAUGAUUACUUGGAUGUGAAGGAAGAGUACCUUAAACUUAAGGAGUGUUCUCCUUUGAAGUUGAUUAGCAGAUGGUAAUGUUAUUAAAUCCCUGAUGUUGUAAGAAAUAACAGUGGUUUUGUAGACUAUUAUCUAGCUUUAAAUUAUAAUUUUUAUUAUGGUUGACCUCAAAUCAGGUAAGGAUACCCGCUGAACUUAAGCAUAUCAAUAAGCGGAGGA